Molecule: ribosomal RNA, 484 nt
Filed under: uncultured bacterium
Lineage: Bacteria
Description: partial 16S ribosomal RNA
Rfam family: Bacterial small subunit ribosomal RNA
Source: RNAcentral
AUUGAACGCUGGCGGCAUGCUUUAUACAUGCCAGUCGAACGGCAACACGGGCUUCGUCCUGGCGGCGAGUGGCGAACGGGCGAGUAAUUCAUCGGAACGUGCCUAGUCGUUGGGGAUAGCCCGACGAAAGCCGGAUUAAUACCGCAUACGACCUUAGAGUGAAAGCGAGGGACCGAAAGGCCUCGCGCUAUUUGAGCGGCCGAUGUCGGAUUAGCUAGUUGGUGGGGUAAAGGCUUACCAAGGCGACGAUCCGUAGCUGGUCUGAGAGGACGACCAGCCACACUGGGACUGAGACACGGCCCAGACUCCUACGGGAGGCAGCAGUGGGGAAUUUUGGACAAUGGGGGCAACCCUGAUCCAGCAAUGCCGCGUGCGGGAAGAAGGCCUUCGGGUUGUAAACCGCUUUUGUUAGGGAAGAAAACCUCUGGGAUAAUACCCCGGCGGGAUGACGGUACCGGAAGAAUAAGCAACGGCUAACUACGUG